CACACGCCCGUCACAUCACGAAAGCCAGUUGUACUAGAAGCCGGUAAUUCAACCGCAAGGAGAUAGCGUCCAAGGUAUGACUGGUGAUUGGGGUG
Molecule: ribosomal RNA, 95 nt
Filed under: uncultured bacterium
Lineage: Bacteria
Description: partial 16S ribosomal RNA
Source: RNAcentral